UAGGGAAUCUUCGGCAAUGGGGGGAACCCUGACCGAGCAACGCCGCGUGAGUGAAGAAGGUUUUCGGAUCGUAAAGCUCUGUUGUUAAGGAAGAACGAGUGUGAGAAUGGAAAGUUCAUGCUGUGACGGUACUUAACCAGAAAGGGACGGCUAACUACGUGCCAGCAGCCGCGGUAAUACGUAGGGCGCAAGCGUUAUCCGGAAUUAUUGGGCGUAAAGAGCUUGUAGGCGGUUCGUCGCGUCUGGUGUGAAAGCCCAUCGCUUAACGGUGGGUUUGCGCCGAGUACGGGCGGGCUAGAGUGCAGUAGGGGAGACUGGAAUUCCCGGUGUAACGGUGGAAUGUGUAGAUAUCGGGAAGAACACCAAUGGCGAAGGCAGGUCUCUGGGCUGUUACUGACGCUGAGAAGCGAAAGCGUGGGGAGCGAACAGG
This 430-nucleotide ribosomal RNA is filed under the name Verrucomicrobiota bacterium. RNAcentral's name for it is "Verrucomicrobia bacterium partial 16S ribosomal RNA". It matches the Rfam family "Bacterial small subunit ribosomal RNA", at positions 355 to 776 of the family's 1533-position model. The record is from RNAcentral. Lineage: Bacteria; Pseudomonadati; Verrucomicrobiota.